RNAcentral lists this transfer-messenger RNA (427 nucleotides) under Holosporales bacterium. It matches the Rfam family "Alphaproteobacteria transfer-messenger RNA". Rfam says of the family: Bacterial tmRNA, also known as 10Sa RNA or SsrA, is named for its dual tRNA and mRNA-like properties. Its role is to liberate the mRNA from a stalled ribosome. The record is from RNAcentral. Lineage: Bacteria; Pseudomonadati; Pseudomonadota; Alphaproteobacteria; Holosporales.
UGAAUUGAAUAACAAUUGUGUGCGUGCUAGAAUGAAGGAGUCGCGUUUGUGACUAUAGUGAUAAACGGCUUACGUAAUAGGCUUUAUGGACCAGGGGGCGGUACCCUGCGCCUCUACCACAUAUGGGGGCGAAAUAGGUUCGACAUGAUGCAGUAAAGGUAGAUCUUUCACUCGGCAUUGUACCGUCGUUAUCGGGCUGAUUUGUAAUAAAUGCCGAUCUUAAUAGAGAGAGCAUUGUACUUGCGCUUAACUUAAAUAGGAAACGGAACCGCAAAAAGGUUGCGAAUCUGAAUAAAAAGUUGGACGCUGCAGAAGCUGCUUAAGCUUUUCCCUAGUGGAAUCUCGAGCAUUGUUUUUGCUUACUGUUUUUGAUUAAGCAGUAGAGUCGCGGUCUUUGGGGGAUACCGAGCAACAGAAUUCCCCCUUG